RNAcentral lists this ribosomal RNA (497 nucleotides) under uncultured bacterium. RNAcentral's name for it is "partial 16S ribosomal RNA". It matches the Rfam family "Bacterial small subunit ribosomal RNA", at positions 28 to 507 of the family's 1533-position model. The record is from RNAcentral.
GACGAACGCUGGCGGCGUGCCUAAUACAUGCAAGUUGAGCGCUGAAGGUUGGUACUUGUACCAACUGGAUGAGCAGCGAACGGGUGAGUAACGCGUGGGGAAUCUGCCUUUGAGCGGGGGACAACAUUUGGAAACGAAUGCUAAUACCGCAUAAAAACUUUAAACACAAGUUUUAAGCUUGAAAGAUGCAAUUGCAUCACUCAAAGAUGAUCCCGCGUUGUAUUAGCUAGUUGGUGAGGUAAAGGCUCACCAAGGCGGUGAUACAUAGCCGACCUGAGAGGGUGAUCGGCCACAUUGGGACUGAGACACGGCCCAAACUCCUACGGGAGGCAGCAGUAGGGAAUCUUCGGCAAUGGACGAAAGUCUGACCGAGCAACGCCGCGUGAGUGAAGAAGGUUUUCGGAUCGUAAAACUCUGUUGGUAGAGAAGAACGUUGGUGAGAGUGGAAAGCUCAUCAAGUGACGGUAACUACCCAGAAAGGGACGGCUAACUACGUG